Molecule: small nucleolar RNA, 102 nt
Organism: Macaca fascicularis (crab-eating macaque)
Lineage: Eukaryota; Metazoa; Chordata; Mammalia; Primates; Cercopithecidae
Source: Ensembl
AUGCUUCAUAAUUUGUAAGUGUGAUGAUGGGGUUUUUGUGUUUAUGUGUGAGAUGUGUCUCCUUCAACCUUGUUACAAUAGUUGGGCAUUAUCUGCCUGAUG